Molecule: ribosomal RNA, 744 nt
Filed under: uncultured marine microorganism
Description: bacterial SSU rRNA
Rfam family: Bacterial small subunit ribosomal RNA
Source: RNAcentral
AGAGUUUGAUCAUGGCUCAGAAUGAACGUUGGCGGCGUGGAUUAGGCAUGCAAGUCGAGCGCGAUACUUUUAAAAGAUACUUCGGUUGAUUUUAAAAGUGGAAAGCGGCGAAAGGGAGAGUAACGAGUAGAUACGUACCCAGGGGUUCGGGAUAGCUGCGGGAAACUGCAGGUAAUACCGAAUAAUGUCUCCGGACCAAAAAUUUAUUGCCCCCGGAUCGGUCUGCUUACUAUUAGCUUGUUGGUGGGGUAAAGGCCUACCAAGGCAAAGAUGGUUAGCGGGUGUGAGAGCAUGGCCCGUCUCACUGGGACUGAGACACUGCCCAGACACCUACGGGUGGCUGCAGUCGAGAAUCUUCCGCAAUGGACGAAAGUCUGACGGAGCGACGCCGCGUGCGGGAUGAAGGCCUUCGGGUUGUAAACCACUGUCAGAGGGGAGCAAAUUUUGAGCGAUCCUCAAAGGAAGCACAGGCUAAGUUCGUGCCAGCAGCCGCGGUAAUACGAACUGUGCAAACGUUAUUCGGAAUCACUGGGCUUAAAGGGUGCGUAGGCGGGUUUAAAGGUCUGAUGUGAAAGCCCACGGCUCAACCGUGGAAUUGCGUUGGAAACCAUGAACCUUGAGGGAGUCAGAGGUAAGCGGAACUGAUGGUGGAGCGGUGAUAUGCGUUGAUAUCAUCAGGAACACCGGUGGCGAAAGCGGCUUACUGGGACUCUUCUGACGCUGAGGCACGAAAGCUAGGGGAGC